RNAcentral lists this ribosomal RNA (391 nucleotides) under Rhizosolenia sp. RNAcentral's name for it is "partial small subunit ribosomal RNA". It matches the Rfam family "Eukaryotic small subunit ribosomal RNA", at positions 582 to 975 of the family's 1831-position model. The record is from RNAcentral. Lineage: Eukaryota; Bacillariophyta; Coscinodiscophyceae; Rhizosoleniales; Rhizosoleniaceae.
AUUCCAGCUCCAAUAGUGUAUAUUAAAGUUGUUGCAGUUAAAAAGCUCGUAGUUGGAUUUCUGGCGGGAGCGAUCGGUCCUUCACUCAGUGUUGGAACCUGAUUGUCUCCUGCCAUCCAUGGAGAAAACUUAUCUGGCAUUAAGUUGUCGGGUAGGCAAUCUCCAUCUUUUACUGUGAAAAAAUUAGAGUGUUCAAAGCAGGCUUAUGCCGUUGAAUAUAUUAGCAUGGAAUAAUAAGAUAGGACUAUGGUACUAUUUUGUUGGUUUGUGCACCAUGGUAAUGAUUAAUAGGGAUAGUCGGGGGCAUUCGUAUUCAAACGACAGAGGUGAAAUUCUUGGACCGUUUGAAGACGAACUAAGGCGAAAGCAUUUGCCAAGAAUGUUCUCAUUA